CGACAUUCGAUCAUUAUUGGUUAAGUACCAACGUUGAAUGUCAUCUAUAGUUCACUUAUUACGUUCUCGCGUUCUUCGUUUAAUUUCUAUUAAACCUUACUAGAUCUUCUUACAUUAGCACCUUAUAAGUGAUUUAAGGUCAGUCUCAUUAUGUACAUUAAGUACCUUCAAUGUCUUAUCUUAAGUCUACAUUCAAAUGGAACAAAACUUAACUUGGU
Molecule: long non-coding RNA, 218 nt
Filed under: Panax ginseng (ginseng)
Lineage: Eukaryota; Viridiplantae; Streptophyta; Magnoliopsida; Apiales; Araliaceae
Description: long non-coding RNA (PGIN_LNC003516)
Source: RNAcentral